Non-coding RNA from Punica granatum (pomegranate), 100 nucleotides. The record is from Rfam. NCBI's taxonomy places the organism in Eukaryota, Viridiplantae, Streptophyta, Magnoliopsida, Myrtales, Lythraceae.
GGGGAUCGGUGAUGUUAUCGAUCUCUGCUUUAUCUAUUUGAAGCUUCCUUCCGAUGAAUGAAGUGAAUUGAAGAUGUCCUAACUAAUACUGAGAUCCUCC